GCCCGUCUAAGCUCAGUCGGUAGAGCGCAAGGCUCUUAACCUUGUGGUCCUGGGUUCAAGUCCCAGGGUGGGCG
Molecule: transfer RNA, 74 nt
Filed under: Ipomoea nil (Japanese morning glory)
Lineage: Eukaryota; Viridiplantae; Streptophyta; Magnoliopsida; Solanales; Convolvulaceae
Rfam family: tRNA
About the family: Transfer RNA (tRNA) molecules are approximately 80 nucleotides in length. Their secondary structure includes four short double-helical elements and three loops (D, anti-codon, and T loops).
Source: Rfam by way of RNAcentral